Molecule: RNA transcript, 1701 nt
Organism: Sapajus apella (tufted capuchin)
Lineage: Eukaryota; Metazoa; Chordata; Mammalia; Primates; Cebidae
Gene name: c-Myc-binding protein pseudogene
Exons: 3
Source: RefSeq, a predicted model, not a curated record
AUGGCAGGCCUUACUGGUAAUCGAUUACCCAAAGGCUUUAAGCUGGAGAUACAAAAUGGUGGCAGCAUUUCCCAGGGCUACCCAGCUCCAGUGGGAGGCAGGGAAAUUGGUACUAGCGACGUGGCUCUGGUUCCCUACCAGAAAAGUUGUGCUCUUGUUGCCAAAUUAGCCCCCUUGGAAGAUUUAAAGAUCUACGCUGUCGCCGCUGUCACUGAGGCCGAUUACAAAGCCGCUAACUCAAAACAUGAGCAGUUCUGGAGGUACUCGGAGAAGUCAGGGGUGCUAGACACGCUGACCAAGGUGUUGAUAGCCUUAUAUGAAGAACCAAAGAAACCGAACAGUGCUUUGGAUUUUUUAAAGCAUCACUUAGGGGCUGCUACCCCAGAAAAUCCAGAAAUAGAGCUGCUUCGCCUAGAACCACUCAAAAUGAAACAGAAAUAUGAAGCUAUUGCAGAAGAAAAUAAAAAACUGAAAGCAAAGCUUUCUCAGUAUGAACCACCUCAGGAGGAGAAGCAUGCUGAAUAGGAUUCUUCUCAGUUGAAAAGACCAAAAAAAUGGUUUUGUAUGACUUGAAUACUUUGUAUAGUAUAUAAUCUUUCCUGAACAGAUGCUAUAGAACUCUUUUAAUAUGUUUAAUUCACCUAUCACAUUCUAUUAUAAACGUAUAGAAUCAUCAAUAAAAACUCAAUAUAACUUUCUUUGGGUCUUAAAACAGGGGAAUCCAAAGUAAAUCCUGAAACAAUCCUAAGCACAGCUAUCUAACUCAUUACCUUAAAAGACAUUCUGUUUAUUAGUCUGAUCAGGAAUGAUGGCACUGGUUGUAUUUUAACCGAGGCAGUUUAGCAUGGAGCUAGUCCUUGGUGUAGUUCAGGAUAUGAACACAGGUACAGUCAUUCUUUGAAGGUGACACUGUUGUGUAUAUUUCCUAUAGGCAGAUGGAGAGAUCUGUGUGACAGAAGAUGCUUUUGUACGGAUUCCCAUGAAUCUUCUGCUCCUGUUUGUGUAACAUGAAACAAAUAACUCCUCUUUGCCACCAUUUUGCCUUAGAUAACUCUGUGUGUGCCAGUUUGAACUCUGAUACCAUAUUUUCCUUCUAUGCAAUCAUGCCUUGUCUGAUAAUCUUGCAUUGCUUUGCUCUGAGCUUUAGUGGGUCCUAGUUGCACAUUGGCCUUUCUGUGCUGUUUUUCAAUUUGCCUGAUAAUAGCAGUUACCCUGAUUGUAAUUUUUUUAAACUUUAAACAGGAUCACACUGUACCCCCUGCCUGCCUUAUUUGCCUAUUGAGCACAGAACAGAGGCAAUAUACCAUUCUGGGUUCACACACAAGCUGGGAUGCGAAGAGGAAUGAGCCAUAUAUUGUGGAAAAUUAUAGUUUGUAGGUAUAAUUAUAUAGUUCUUUUUUCCAUCAAAGUAUUUUUCUAGCCUUGAAUUCAUUUUAUCUUCAUUAUCCCUGUGAAGUAGGUGGGGCAAGUAUGAGGGGAAGUUGGGUGCUGUAUUUUUAGGUCAAAGAUUGAUGUUAAUACAAAUUACUCACUAAUUGGAGAACCUUGGGCAUAUCAGUGAGCUGCUCUGAGAUUUACUGUCUUCAUCUGUUUCAUGAGAAGAAUAUCCAUGAUGGCUGCCUCACAGGGUUGUUAUGAGGGUCAAAUGAGAAUGUAUGUGAAAGAUUUGUACAUGGUAAAGCACUACAUUCUUGUUUGUUA